RNAcentral lists this long non-coding RNA (845 nucleotides) under Helianthus annuus (common sunflower). Its description in RNAcentral is "hypothetical non coding rna". The record is from RNAcentral. Lineage: Eukaryota; Viridiplantae; Streptophyta; Magnoliopsida; Asterales; Asteraceae.
AGGGGCAUUGCAUUUUGUACUCUGUACUUCAAAUGUUGGAUAGUGGUUUCUGACAAAACCACCGGCUGGUUUAAUGCUUAGUCAUCUAGGUUUUUACAUGUGUACCAUAAAGGAAGAGAGAGGUGGAUCUAUUUCAAGUAAGGAGAGAUAAAUGAAUACAGAUUAGAGAGUGAAAGAAAUCAAAACCCACAAACCAAAAUAUUGAAGCCUAGAUUCGAUUGUUGCCAAGGUAUACUACAAAUAACAAAGAUGCAGUGGGAAGCCGACAAGAAAGAAGUGAAAGCCGCCGGAGCUGAGCUUCUGCCCGACGGCCGACGAGGUCUUCGCAUUCAUGGCUGGGAGAUUGAAUCGUAGCCUUUCUGCUCAAAGAAGAAGCUUCCUCGAAUCUCACCGGAGGUCGGCGGAGCUUUACCAGACCUUGGUCGGCUCCAUCAACCCGAUGUUUUGGGAGCAUGGCGGUUGUUAGCGGCGGAUCUGUUGUGGUAGAGUGUUUACCUGCAACCCCCUGGCAGCUCCCUCUUUAAACAACUUUGAGCCUAUGUUUUCGGUUUUGAUUUUGGUUUUGGUUUUGGUUUUGGUUUUGUGAUGACUGUUAAUGGUGAUGGUGUGGAUGAAGGACGAUGGUGGUGGUGGUUAGACAGUGAUGUAGGAAUCAGAUGGCAUGUGGGAAGCUUUUUUGGUUGGGAUGGAGUUCGGAUGUGGGCAGUCAAAAUACAUUGAAUUAAUCAUAACUGAAACAAUUUUUUCUCAUUUCUAAAUAUUACUGAAGUAGACUUUGUGUUCCACUUUUAAACUAAAAUUAUUAUUGUAGAGAAUACUUGGUUUUCUACUUCAUCUUCCUCGUA